GCUGUUUCUCGGUAGGAGCCAGAAUACCUGUUUCAACAACAGGCUUGUUCCACUCCUCCACCAGGCUUUGUGUAAAGGAGUGCCUCCCGUUCUCGGUUUGAAAUGCUCUUCCCUGUAGCUUCUUCUGGUUUGCGUUUUCCCUGUUGGUUCUGAAAAAGCCCGCUGGGUCAGACAGAUCCCUUUUUGGGGUCAGGGAACCCGCCGUGCACCCUGGACGUGAUGUCGUUGUUCACCGGGAAAGCUCUGGUGUCUGGUUCCUGGGUCCGGACUGAUCGCUUUUUCUUUUUCCCCUCAGUCAACAAGCGCCUGGACGAGUGGGUGACGCCCGACAGGCUGGACCUGAAGAAGCUCCAGUUCCCCAAAAAGGAGGCCAAGACGCCCACCAAGAACGGCCUGCCGGGCUCGCGGCCCAGCUCCCCGGAGAGAGACGUGGUAAGAGCUCACGGCUCCGAGCUGCUGGAGAGCGACUGACCCCCCCCCCCCAACGCCGCCGUUCUUUCUGAGCCUGAAGCUCGGCGCCAGUGAGCCUCAGACCGGACAGCCCCCGAGGACCACCGGUUCAGCACGGCUCCCUCUCGCUCCCAGGACCAGGCUGGGCUCGGCCUCUGGAAAUCGUCUCCAAUGCUGCCUUUUUCUCUAGCCUCCCCGGGAAGAAGGAACUGUCGGGAUGGCUCCCGAAGUGACGCCGGGCUGUCCCAUGCUCUUUCCUGUUCCUGCAGACCUGUGCUGGUGCUGAUCUUCUAGAUGUUGUGCAUGUCGGUCUUCUGCUUGAUUAUUACAGCGUUGUGAACCCUCUUUUUUUACUGCAUUUUUAUGACUGCACAAAACCAGCCGUGCACCGGGGUGUGGCUGAGCUCACCUGGGUCCGGCCUCCGGGCCGCGGACCCGGCGCCGCUGAGCUCACCUGGGUCAGUGCAGCCGCAGAAAUGCAGUAAGGACCACAGGCGCGCAGAGAAGGAGGUUGAACUGUCUUUCGCUGUCAAUAACACCCUUUUCUAUUCAAAUUCAGAGGAAGAGUCUAGAUCACAGCCUCCAAACGGUCACAGCUCCAUCCAGAGGCAAAACUGUCCCCAUUCCGAAGAGGAAGGUGGAGUCGGUCCCCCUGGCGACGCAGGUGUCGCCGGCCACGCCCGUGCCCUCCCUGCCCAGCUCGGCGGAAACCACCCAGGCCUC
Molecule: long non-coding RNA, 1173 nt
Filed under: Lepisosteus oculatus (spotted gar)
Lineage: Eukaryota; Metazoa; Chordata; Actinopteri; Semionotiformes; Lepisosteidae
Description: lncRNA (ENSLOCG00000022001.1)
Source: RNAcentral